This 253-nucleotide ribosomal RNA is filed under the name uncultured bacterium. RNAcentral describes it as "partial 16S ribosomal RNA". It matches the Rfam family "Bacterial small subunit ribosomal RNA", at positions 524 to 776 of the family's 1533-position model. The record is from RNAcentral.
UACGUAGGUGGCAAGCGUUAUCCGGAUUUAUUGGGUGUAAAGGGCGUGUAGGCGGGAAUGCAAGUCAGAUGUGAAAACUCAGGGCUCAACCCUGAGCCUGCAUUUGGAACUGUAUUUCUUGAGUGCUGGAGAGGCAAUCGGAAUUCCGUGUGUAGCGGUGAAAUGCGUAGAUAUACGGAGGAACACCAGUGGCGAAGGCGGAUUGCUGGACAGUAACUGACGCUGAGGCGCGAAAGCGUGGGGAGCAAACAGG